CAACAUAAUAGCUCAACUACUACAAUACUAUCCCAAAACUUGGAGACUUACGAGAACAUAAGCUAACAAAAUGUAAUACAAAACUCUAACUCCAAAAUGUCUAAAAUAACAGGACGAAAGGAAAUCUAACUGAUAAAGCUAGAAUAAGAUAGAGAAUCCUGGUCUGCGGAUGUGGCAGAUGUACCUCAAAGUCUCUGAUAGAUCUCUCCACCUCGAUAAUAACAUUCAUGUGUGGAGGUACCUGGAUCUGCACAUAAAAAACAUGCACAGAAGGGGAAAGAGUACACCCCAACGGUACUCAGUAAGUGCCAAUCCUAAUCUCGGUCUGGUAGUGAUGAGGAAGGUCAAGGCCCUACUGAGAAUAAACAUAAUAUUAAAUCUUGCAACAAUAGAAAAUAAACAGGAAUAAUGAGUACAUAUCUGAAGUAAGACAGGUUAUACAAGAUAACAAAUAACACAUAGAAAAUAAGGUAACACGGAGUAAAAAGCUCAAUACCAGUACCAACAAUGAGGAUCUCCCAGGAUACCGUCCGGUAGUCCUUUUCAUCAACUGUCCAAGGAUCUCCCAUAUACCAUCCCGUAGUCUAUCAUAUGUGUCUAUAUGAAGGAUCUUCCGGGAUACCAUCCCGUAGUCCAUCUAUCAAUAUGCAGGGGGAUCUAUCAGGAAUCGAACCUGCAGUCCCAAAGUAAAUAUGCAGGGGAUCUACCGGAAAUCUAACCUGUAGUCCCAAAGUAAAUGUGCAAGGGGAUCUAUCGGGAAUCUAACCCGUAGUCCCAAAGUAAAC
Molecule: long non-coding RNA, 785 nt
Filed under: Nicotiana benthamiana
Lineage: Eukaryota; Viridiplantae; Streptophyta; Magnoliopsida; Solanales; Solanaceae
Description: long non-coding RNA (NBEN_LNC006085)
Source: RNAcentral